Ornithorhynchus anatinus (platypus) is the source of this 72-nucleotide non-coding RNA. The record is from Rfam. NCBI's taxonomy places the organism in Eukaryota, Metazoa, Chordata, Mammalia, Monotremata, Ornithorhynchidae.
AGCAGUGUGGCUCAGUGGAAAGAGCACGGGAUUUGGAGUCAGAGGUCAUGGGUUCGAAUCCCAGCUCGGCCA